RNAcentral lists this ribosomal RNA (549 nucleotides) under Magicicada septendecula (seventeen-year cicada). RNAcentral's name for it is "partial 16S ribosomal RNA". It matches the Rfam family "Archaeal large subunit ribosomal RNA", at positions 1889 to 2690 of the family's 2987-position model. The record is from RNAcentral. Lineage: Eukaryota; Metazoa; Arthropoda; Insecta; Hemiptera; Cicadidae.
CGCCUGUUUAUCAAAAACAUGUCCUUUAGUGAGAUAUUAAAGGUCUAUUCUGCCCAAUGAUAUUUUAAUGGCCGCGGUAAAUUGACCAUGCAAAGGUAGCAUAAUAAUUAGUCUUUUAAUUGGAGGCUUGUAUGAAUGAAUGGAUGAAAAAUUUUCUUUUUUAAUUAAAAUAGAUUGAAUUUAGAGUUUAAGUAAAAAAUCUUAAAUAAAUAAGUGGGACGAGAAGACCCUAUAGAAUUUUAAAUAAAUUUGUUUUACUAGAAUUUAGAAUUAAUAACUGAAAAAUUACUUUAUUUUUUGUUGGGGUGACAUUAUAAUAAAUAAAACUUUAAAUGAAUUUUUCAUAAAUUAAUGUUUAAUUGAUCCAAUUUUUUUGAUUAUAAGAUUAAAUUACCUUAGGGAUAACAGCGUUAUUAGUUUGGAGAGUUCAUAUCGAUAAAUUAGAUUGCGACCUCGAUGUUGGAUUAAGAAAAGAGUUUAGAGCAAAAUCUAAAUAUUCUAGGUCUGUUCGACCUUUAAUUUCUUACAUGAUCUGAGUUCAAACCGGAG